Molecule: ribosomal RNA, 392 nt
Filed under: uncultured bacterium
Lineage: Bacteria
Description: bacterial SSU rRNA
Rfam family: Bacterial small subunit ribosomal RNA
Source: RNAcentral
GAUGAACGCUAGCGGCAGGCUUAAUACAUGCAAGUCGAGGGGCAGCACGGGUAGCAAUACCUGGUGGCGACCGGCAAACGGGUGCGGAACACGUACGCAACUUUCCUCUGAGCGGGGAAUAGCCCGGGGAAACCCGGAUUAAUACCCCAUAAUAUAAUCGGUAAGCAUUUGCUGAUUAUUAAAGAUUUAUCACUCAGAGAUGGGCGUGCGCCUGAUUAGGUAGUUGGCGGGGAACGGCCCACCAAGCCUGCGAUCAGUAGCUGAUGUGAGAGCAUGAUCAGCCACACGGGCACUGAGACGACGGGCCCACUCCUACGGGAGCAGCAGUAAGGAAUAUUGGUACAAUGGAACGAAAGUCUGAACCNGCCAUGCCGCGUGGAGAUGAAGGUCCU